This 484-nucleotide ribosomal RNA is filed under the name uncultured bacterium. RNAcentral's name for it is "partial 16S ribosomal RNA". It matches the Rfam family "Bacterial small subunit ribosomal RNA", at positions 30 to 507 of the family's 1533-position model. The record is from RNAcentral.
AUUGAACGCUGGCGGCAGGCCUAACACAUGCCAGUCGAGCGGAGGAAGGGAGCUUGCUCCUGGAUUCAGCGGCGGACGGGUAAGUAAUGCCUAGGAAUCUGCCUGGUAGUGGGGGAUAACGUCCGGAAACGGGCGCUAAUACCGCAUACGUCCUGAGGGAGAAAGUGGGGGAUCUUCGGACCUCACGCUAUCAGAUGAGCCUAGGUCGGAUUAGCUAGUUGGUGGGGUAAAGGCCUACCAAGGCGACGAUCCGUAACUGGUCUGAGAGGAUGAUCAGUCACACUGGAACUGAGACACGGUCCCGACUCCUACGGGAGGCAGCAGUGGGGAAUAUUGGACAAUGGGCGGAAGCCUGCUCCAGCCAUGCCGCGUGUGUGAAGAAGGUCUUCGGAUUGUAAAGCACUUUAAGUUGGGAGGAAGGGCAGUAAGUUAAUACCUUGCUGUUUUGACGUUACCAACAGAAUAAGCACCGGCUAACUUCGUG